Molecule: RNA transcript, 1610 nt
Organism: Tripterygium wilfordii
Lineage: Eukaryota; Viridiplantae; Streptophyta; Magnoliopsida; Celastrales; Celastraceae
Gene name: fructose-1,6-bisphosphatase, cytosolic-like
Exons: 13
Source: RefSeq, a predicted model, not a curated record
AAAGCCACGUGUUAUCUACGGUGCCCAAAACUAAUCUCUCUUACUUGGUCGUCAUGACAUUUUCUUGAGCAUCCUAUCCUCCCCUCCCCUCCCCUUCCCCACCACAAUCCAACUUGGCAUCAAUAUUUAUAUUCCUUCUGCGUAUACUUUUGCGUAUGAUAUAGAGGAGAAGAAGAAGAAAAAAAUCAAAGCUUUUCGAAGAAAGAUUUUUGGGUUUCUUGGUAGUAUUCAAAAAUGGAUCACGAAAGCGAGGCUCACCGGACUGAUCUCAUGACAAUCACGCGUUUCGUCCUCAACGAGCAGUCUAAGUUUCCCGAGUCACGCGGUGACUUAACCAUCUUGCUCAAUAACAUUGUUCUCGGCUGCAAAUUCGUCUGCAAUGCUGUUAGCAAGGCAGGUCUUGCGAAACUGAUCGGGCUAGCCGGAGAAACUAAUAUUCAGGGUGAAGAGCAGAAGAAAUUAGAUGUGCUUUCAAAUGAAGUUUUCAUCAAGGCUUUGGUCAGCAGUGGACGCACGUGCAUCCUUGUAUCUGAGGAAGAUGAAGAAGCUACUUUUGUGGAGGUAUCGAUGCGAGGAAGAUAUAUUGUUGUUUUUGACCCAUUGGAUGGAUCCUCAAACAUCGACUGUGGCGUUUCCAUUGGAACUAUAUUCGGGAUUUACAUGGUGGAAAACACUGACAAUCCAACUUUAGAGGAUGUGUUGAAACCUGGGAGCCAUAUGACAGCUGCUGGGUAUUGCAUGUAUGGAAGUUCUUGCACGCUGGUUUUUAGCACUGGAAGCGGUGUCAAUGGCUUCACUCUAGAUCCAUCGAUUGGGGAAUUCAUAUUAACCCAUCCUGAUAUCAAGAUUCCAAAGAAAGGAAAGAUUUAUUCAGUAAAUGAAGGAAAUGCCAAAAACUGGGAUGAACCUACUGCUAAAUAUGUAGAAAAUUGCAAGUUCCCAACAGAUGGUUCAUCCUCAAAGUCACUUAGGUACAUUGGAAGCAUGGUUGCUGAUGUCCACCGAACAUUGCUUUACGGUGGUAUCUUUUUGUAUCCUGCUGAUAAGAAGAGCCCAAAUGGAAAGCUACGUGUUUUGUAUGAAGUCUUCCCAAUGUCAUACUUGAUGGAGCAAGCAGGAGGCCAAGCUUUUACUGGCAAGCAAAGGGCACUGGAUUUGGUUCCAAAGAAGAUACAUGAACGCUCACCUGUAUUCCUUGGUAGCUAUGACGAUGUCGAGGAAAUUAAGGCACUCUAUGCUGCUGCCGAGAGAGAAGGCGCAUGAACCUGUGGAUCUCACAAUAAUCAUAAAUGUUCUUUAUGUAAUGUUUGCGAUUCCUUCAAAUUAGCAACCAAUACAGUCACCGGAGAAAACUUCUGUCUUCUGCUCUGUCAUCAAAAGCAAACCAGAAGAAGACUGUUUAGAAGUUCAUUGUUUCCCAUUUUGUCAAGACUUCUCGAUGGUGAAAGCAGUCUAAUAAUUCACACACAUAUAUAUAUAUCAGCACAAGUAGCAUGAGAAACAGAGAGCAACAAAGGUGGUAUUUUUGGAUGCGGAUUCAACUGUAGCUUUCAGAUGGUUGUGAAAUAACAUACUCCACUGAGAUUUAUGAGACUCAAAUCAAUUAUAAU